CUAGAAUCAGUGAACAAGUGAAUUUCCACACUAUUAUGAUCUGAUGCUCUGGUAAAUGUCUGCCACAGGGAUUACCUGGGAAGACAGGAGCACCUGGCCUCCAAGGACAUGUAGGGAAGAGUGUGAGUUAUUUACCUUAUAGAUAUUUGAAUUUUUUUUCCAACUCUUAUCUGACUUGGACCAAAGCUGACCACAUUCAAACCAAGAAGGAGGAGUUGCACUGAGGAGGAUCAGGAUGUGCUUUGAAUUAAAUAUGUUAAUAACAGUAUGUGUCAUUCAAAAGGGGGAAGCUGGCAGUAGAGGAAGGAAGGGGACACUAGGAAAACCAGGAGAGAGAGGUAUUAAAGGGAAAGAAGGUCCCAGUGGACUUCCAGGGGGUGAAGGACUAAAGGUAGGAACAAUUAAAAGUCUCAUAUUUAGUCAGUGUUUAUAAAUGAAUCAGUCAGAAUUUCAUGCUGCAUCACUUGCACCAUACUGGUUAUUAUGUUAACAUGAUCUAUAUUUUAUGUUUUAACUCAAUGUGGUUGACCUUGUUGUGAAGGGUAAGAAUGGCGAGGAAGGACCAAAGGGAAAACAAGGCACCCCAGUACGUUAUUUUCUGUAUUAUUAAUAUUAGCAGUAGUAGUAGUAGUAGUUAUUUCUGUUAUCAACUUCACUGCCACAACAAUAUCAGUACAACUGUAAUCAAUACACGCUCUAUUAAGUGUAUCUGGUGUAUAGGGAGCUUUUUACUAAUAGUUGUAUCUUGCUGUCCUUCAGGGAGAGAGGGGCAUGUCUGGACCACAGGGAUACAGAGGACCGGCUGGUAUUCAGGGUAACAUUGGACCAUGGGGUGGGAUUGGGCCCCGGGGCAUUCCAGGUGACCGAGGGCCACAAGGUCCAGUUGGCCCUCGUGGAGUUACAGGUUACCCAGUAAGGUUUUUUUUAAUGCUUUUCUUUUUAAGAUUGAACUUUAGUUUUCUAAAUGUUUGAUCUUAUUUUUUUUUUCAUUAAAGAUUGAAAGCAAACCAAAAUCAAAGAUAAAACUGACCAAAAAUGAUUAUGCGCUAAUUUGCUAUGGUUAACUCCAACUAUGCUGCCUACGUCCAGACUGAACACCCUGGGGUUUAUAAGGUGCUUGGACCAUCAAUAAUGGCUACAUUACCGUUAUCUGUCACAGUAGGUCAUGAGUCAGCGUGCUCUACCACUGGUCAGGGUUGGCUGCUCUAAGUAACACUUUUGUUCAACAAGCCAAAAUAUCAGUCAUAAAAAAAAUAUUUUCUUGCAACAGCUGUUUUGAGUCUAUAGGCUAACAACAGACCUCUUUGGUUUUGAAAUCAAGGCCUGGUCAUAGUAAGGAUGAAUUACAUCAUAGAUUACACUGGUACUUCAAGCUUGUGACAGUGUCAUCGAGAUUUGUAUUUUUCUAAAACAAUUGCUCAUCAUCUACAACACAAAAUGUACUGUCAAUUUUCAUGUUGUGCGCUGUUCAUCUGCUUUGAACAAAGGGAGCAUGCAGGAGCAUUACUGGAAUCACCCAGACAUCAUUAGGAUUUUGGUGGGGGAUUCAUCAAUCAUCAAUUUAAAAAAAUAUAUGUCUGAGGGGACACUUUAUAUGUCAUUUAUUUGAUCAAUAUAAUGAUUGACAAUUUUUGAUAGAUUUGUCUUCUGUACUUCAGAAGUUUGCCUUAGAGUAAACACAACUGUAGAACCUGAAUUUUAUUUUUAAUUCAAAGACAGCUUUGAACAUAUUUUGGCUAUAUUUAUGUACAGAAAUGUAUGUACAUCAACACACAGCCUUUACACAUAAUCGUUUAGAAAUACAAAUUUAAAUACUCCCCUCCUUUGAGAGAAGCUCAUAUAGGGAGUAAGUCUUUUUUGGGCAAUUGUUGCUUUAAUCUCUCUAUAUUUAGGGUAAAGAUGGAACCCAAGGACCAACGGGAUCAGCUGGUGUCAAAGGAGACAAGGUUAAGUUUUUUUCUACACAGCUCUUGUCUCUUUAAAUGCACCCAUAACUUAGGCUUGGGGUGGUCUCUGAAAAAGUUUAAUGAUUCAUUACUCAGUCGUUUCUGUUUGUCUGUACAUGUUGCAUCUUCAGGGAUCAACAGGGGCUUUGGGGCAGGAGGGAGUUGCUGGUCUCGAUGGUGAGGAGGUAGAUUGAUUAGACUGUGUUGUUUUACCUUUUUUCAUUUAACUG
Scophthalmus maximus (turbot) is the source of this 2176-nucleotide long non-coding RNA. Lineage: Eukaryota; Metazoa; Chordata; Actinopteri; Pleuronectiformes; Scophthalmidae. The record is from Ensembl.